UUCUUGAGCAUCCAAGAUGCCAAAGGAAGAGCAAGAAGAUUCCGUGCAACAAAAACUCUAUCUGGGUUCGACAGAUUAAUUACCCUGAAACAAUUCAAUGAUCCUACUAGUGG
Long non-coding RNA from Telopea speciosissima, 113 nucleotides. RefSeq lists it as uncharacterized. The record is from RefSeq and is a predicted model, not a curated record. The transcript has 3 exons. Lineage: Eukaryota; Viridiplantae; Streptophyta; Magnoliopsida; Proteales; Proteaceae.